This 67-nucleotide transfer RNA is filed under the name Marmota monax (woodchuck). Its description in RNAcentral is "tRNA.Ala". Lineage: Eukaryota; Metazoa; Chordata; Mammalia; Rodentia; Sciuridae. The record is from RNAcentral.
GGAGACAGCUCAGUGGUAGAGCACCUGCCUAGCAUGUGUGAGGCACUGGGUUCAAUCCUCAGCACCA